CUGGUUGAUCCUGCCAGACCCGACUGCUAUCGGAUUGGGACUAAGCCAUGCGGGUCAACUCCGCAAGGGGUGGCGCACGGCUCAGUAACACGUAGUCAACCUACCCUGGGGACGGGGAUAACCUCGGGAAACUGAGGCUAAACCCCGAUGGGCCAUGGCUCCUGGAAUGGGCUAUGGCUGAAAUCUACAUGGCCCCAGGAUGGGACUGCGGCCGAUCAGGUUGUUGGUGGGGUAAUGGCCCACCAAGCCUAUAACCGGUGCGGGCUCUGAGAGGAGGAGCCCGGAGAUGGGCACUGAGACAAGGGCCCAGGUCCUAUGGGGCGCAGCAGGCGCGAAACCUCCGCAAUGGGCGAAAGCCCGACGGGGUCAGUCCGAGUGGUUCCCGCUGAGGGAACCUUUUGCCAGCUGUAAACAGGCUGGCGAAUAAGGGGUGGGCAAGUUUGGUGUCAGCCGCCGCGGUAAUACCAGCACCCCGAGUGGUCGGGACGAUUAUUGGGCCUAAAGCAUCCGUAGCCGGCCCAGUAAGUCCUCCGUUAAAUCCAACGGCUCAACCGUUGGGCUGCGGGGGAUACUGCUGGGCUAGGGGACGGGAGAGGCGAGGGGUAUUCCCGGGGUAGGGGUAAAAUCCACUGAUCCCGGGAGGACCACCAGUGGCGAAGGCGCCUCGCUAGAACGUGCCCGACGGUGAGGGAUGAAAGCUGGGGGAGCGAACCGGAUUAGAUACCCGGGUAGUCCCAGCCGUAAACGAUGUAGGCUCGGUGUUGGGCUGCCUCAGUGGCAGCCCAGUGCCGCAGGGAAGCCGUUAAGCCUACCGCCUGGGGAGUACGGCCGCAAGGCUGAAACUUAAAGGAAUUGGCGGGGGAGCACCAC
Molecule: ribosomal RNA, 870 nt
Filed under: uncultured archaeon
Lineage: Archaea
Description: bacterial SSU rRNA
Rfam family: Archaeal small subunit ribosomal RNA
Source: RNAcentral